ACGCGAAAGGCCCUGUGGAAAGCUCUCCGCGCGGGUUCCCUUGGCAACCCGGACGCUCUCGCUCUGUCCCGACUGGCGAUCCCAGGAAUCCCCAAAGGAUGGCUCCACUUGUGUGGUGAGAGAGUGACUCAGUGCCUUGGACGCCACCUCCAAAGGGGAAAUAUUUCCAGAUCAGAGACCACGCGGCGGUGCCAAGCCCGGGCCUAUGUGAAUACUGGAUUAUGCCUCCGAGGCCCGGCCCUCACCCCGUGCCAGCCGCCGCUUCAGAAACCAGCCAGGAGCCGAGCGGAGCCAUCGCGAAUCAAGAGGUUGAUUCUUUCCCCCCAUUAAGUCGUUUGAAACCAACGUUUCCACAUUUUUGGGGGUUUGAUGUCAUAAAAUUCCCAUGUAUG
Molecule: long non-coding RNA, 392 nt
Organism: Eptesicus fuscus (big brown bat)
Lineage: Eukaryota; Metazoa; Chordata; Mammalia; Chiroptera; Vespertilionidae
Exons: 3
Source: RefSeq, a predicted model, not a curated record